This 935-nucleotide long non-coding RNA is filed under the name Homo sapiens (human). Its description in RNAcentral is "HSALNT0231059". The record is from RNAcentral. Lineage: Eukaryota; Metazoa; Chordata; Mammalia; Primates; Hominidae.
GUUACAGAACCAGAUGGUCUAAGUUAGUCUUUCAUUUGCCAGGAUGAUGGGAAAGCACUGCCUUGCUCUGCAACUGAAAUGGUGGUGGCCGCUUUGCCAAUGGACGGUUGGCUGUGAUUUCCAGGGACAGUUGUUCUUCCAGAAGCAAAGUGCCCAAGGCUCUGGGUGGAGGAGUUCAGCUAUUACCUUGACUUUGCCGAAGUCCUAGGCACUCCCAUGCCCUCAGAGUCUCAUUUUGAAUCCAGGCACUUAGGGAUGCUAUUUUUCCACAUCAAACAGCUUCCUCCCAGCCAAAGAAUUCUGGUGACAGUAGUGAAGAUAAUUUUCACUCCUGCUUACAGAAUGACAAAGCAAAAGCAAAGAGGAGAAGAAUGAAGUAAAGACAACCAAAGGAAAAGACUGAUGGCUCCUUAAGAAUGAUCUUGAUAAAGGAAUGGUGGCUGAGGGGUCCAUCUCCUAAACCACCCACCUUACUGACUCCCUAGAGCAAUGCCAUACAGAAAGCUGCACCUUGAGGGGAAGACACAAGAAUCCUGGAGUGGAAAAAAAUUGGGUAAUGAUGACAGCCUUCGAGGUCUUGAGAGUAAAGCAGAAGCAAAAAAAAAGUGUUAUUUUUAUCUUUUGAAGAUGGUUCCCUCUUAAGACUUUUGCGAAUGAUUAAGAUUUCAAUUAUGUUCCAGGAAAAAAAUAAGAUUUUUGCUUGACAAAAAAAAUUUUUGUCUAGAACAGGUGGGAAGGAAGAGAUAGUUUAGCCACAUCCAAGAGACCUGUAAAUUGGGUACAGUGAAGUGAAUGGUGUACCAGUCAUAAAAGAAUGUUAACUGGAGAAGUCUCUGCUGUCUUCCUGUAACUGAGGGGGGUGUAACCAUCCUUGUGGAAGCGUCCACUUUUAUUGAAGAUUGGCUAAAUAAAUCUGUGCCUACUGAAACUCAAGC